CUUUGUGUAUGUGUCUGUCUGUACUGUAUGAUCAAUGUGUAUUUGGCGUGUGUUUCAGUGAUGAAGUUCAAGCGCAAGCCGUGCUUCAUGGAGUUUGCUGUGCUGCUGCUCCAGAGGACCAUGCAGGCAGACCAUCUAGAGCUGGUCCUGCAGUGGGGACACGACAUAUUUGGCUGGCUUAGCAGGAGGGAUGAGGGACUGACAGGGCCUAAGAAGGGCCCAGGGGACAGAUCAACCUCAGGGAAAGAACUGAAGAAGUUCUCCUCCUCCAUCAUGGAGUACAAGAAGAAUAAAGCUAGUACAUUCGGGAGUGACAAGAAGAGGAAAGAGUUUCUCCAGAAGAAACAACUGACUGCUCUGAAAGCACAGAACACAGAGAGGUGGGUACAGUACUUUUACAGCAACUGUAAAACUCUCUUUGUGCUACUCUCUUUGUGCUUAUGACUAAUUACUGUUAAACUUUUACCCCAAUUGCAUGAGUGUGUGCGGAUGUGGGCUUAUGCAAGUGUACAUGUGUGUCCUUACCUGCAUGUAUGCUCCACUCACAUCUGUGUGUCAGGGAGUGUAAGGCGGUGGACACCAUGCUGAACCAGCUAGCCCCCCUGGUGCGCCGUCACCAGCGUCGGAGGCGUCUGAGACAGGUGUGUUCUGAGGAGUGGCUGUGGAGGUGUCACCUCAACCUUAGCAUCGCCAGGGCUCACCUGGGACUACUGAGAAGGAGCCUGGAGAACCACCAGGGCCUUGGGGCCCUACAACACAGGUAAAUAUAGACACAAACACACGCAUGCAUACAUACACAUAUACACACACACAUACAGAUCACUGUUUCCCACAUAUACAUACUGUACCCUUGUCACGCUAUCAUUCCCUCCAGAUUGUACUGUGCUGGCUCAGAUGUUUUCUUUUCACAAUCACUGUCCUUUCCAGCACGAUUCUCUAAGAGUGUAGCUAAAAGUGAGCUGAGCUAGCCCUAUAACGUAUCUGGUGCCAGCUCACUUUCAAGCGAGCAUAGGAGAAUAGUUAGCUACAUUUCUGUGUUUUAUUGAUCGUACAUAUAUGAACAUUAUUUUUGUGUACAUUUUACAUUUUAGAACAAAGACAAUAGACCAUGAUGACAUUUUUGUUCUUGUAGCUACAGCCAGCUGCCUCCGUUGUUGUUCUCCCUGGCCCACUCUGGUACUCUGGUGAGGGGGAGGAACAUGCAUCAGCACAUCGGAGUCCCUGACCUGAUUCCCCCGCCCCCCAAAGCCACGCCCCAGCCCUGCUUCAGAGCCAUCCUCCACAAGGCCAAGGAGAGCGGACAGGGUAAGGAAAUAACUAACUAAACUAGCUAACUAUCCUCAACACUCUUUCUCUCCCUGUCUUUCUUUUUUUCUCUUUUGCUGUCUAUAUCUCUCUCACUCUCUCUCUCCCUAUCUCUCUUUUUUUUUGACCCAUCACCAGAGGGGGCAGACAUCAGAGGACAAGAACAUUCUUCCUAUCUUUUACUCUUUCUCUCUCUCCACCCUUCAGCUGCCACCACCACCAGUGGAGAGGACUUCAACACGACAGAGAGCAGUGAGCAGGACAGUGAGCAGGACUCUCCUCGUACGCAGCCAGCUGUGGACUCGGACUAUAGUGAGCCCUCAGUGAUGACCACCUCCCCGACCAGACGCACCGCCACUCAGCUGCUAGAGUCACUCAACAAGGCUGCCCUGCACCUCCGCAGAGCCAUGGUACCUGAUAUACACACACAAACAGACACGGAUGCAUAUACACACAAACACAUACAAACAG
Molecule: long non-coding RNA, 1776 nt
Organism: Salmo trutta (river trout)
Lineage: Eukaryota; Metazoa; Chordata; Actinopteri; Salmoniformes; Salmonidae
Source: Ensembl